AGUGAACGCUGGCGGUAGGCCUAACACAUGCAAGUCGAACGGCAGCACAGUAAGAGCUUGCUCUUACGGGUGGCGAGUGGCGGACGGGUGAGGAAUACAUCGGAAUCUACUUUUUCGUGGGGGAUAACGUAGGGAAACUUACGCUAAUGCCGCAUACGACCUACGGGUGAAAGCAGGGGAUCUUCGGACCUUGCGCGAUUGAAUGAGCCGAUGUCGGAUUAGCUAGUUGGCGGGGUAAAGGCCCACCAAGGCGACGAUCCGUAGCUGGUCUGAGAGGAUGAUCAGCCACACUGGAACUGAGACACGGUCCAGACUCCUACGGGAGGCAGCAGUGGGGAAUAUUGGACAGUGGGCGCAAGCCUGAUCCAGCCAUACCGCGUGGGUGAAGAAGGCCUUCGGGUUGUAAAGCCCUUUUGUUGGGAAAGAAAAGCAGCAGGUUAAUACCCCGCUGUUCUGACGGUACCCAAAGAAUAAGCACCGGCUAACUUCGU
This 491-nucleotide ribosomal RNA is filed under the name uncultured bacterium. RNAcentral's name for it is "partial 16S ribosomal RNA". It matches the Rfam family "Bacterial small subunit ribosomal RNA", at positions 29 to 506 of the family's 1533-position model. The record is from RNAcentral.